GUGUGUUCAUGUGAUGCAGGAAGGAUGUGUCCUAAAAGAGUUUGCAUCGAGCCAAACUGCAUCACUUCUGAGUCCGACCACCGCUCGGCACUUAUCUUUGGAUAUCCUCCCUUUCGCUUUAGUUACAUUGGGUGAAAGGGAAGAAACCGAAGAGAACGAGAGAAGGAUUGUGAAAUGGGAGCUACGGCAUCAUCCGCGCAGCGGGACAGCAGAUGUGAGGAGGACGCGGCGGCGGAGGAGCCCACUGCAGCAGCGAGCGAUGCUCAGGAUGACGGCAGUCCCGAUGACAAGUUGUUACAGAAAAACGGACAGAUCUCCAGAUUGAAUGUGAAGACAAGCAACCAUGCAGAUGAAUUGAAUGGGCAAUUUGAAGAGAGAGUACUUGCAGAUGUUGGCUCAGGGUUUGUGACUCUGAAAGACGAUGGCACAGAAACAACUGAAGACCUUCAGGAUAUGGAUGCUCUUCAACCAAACAUUAAGAAUGAGAGCACAGAGAUGGUCAAUACAGAUGGUGUAGAACCUGAGGAGGACAACCAAGUUAAUGAUAUCAAUGAAGUUGGCUUUAAAAAAAUCUUCAAAUUUGUUGGAUUUAAGUUCACCCUAAAAAAAGACACAUGUGAAAAGACUGAAGCAAUUGAGCAAGAAGAAAGUGUUGCAAGUCCCUCAGAGGACUCCAGUGACACUCAAGAGAACAGUGCAGUGGCAGCAAAUGAAAACAUAAUUGAUGAGACUCACAAAAGUGAGGUGUCUUCCCAGCCUGAUGCAGCUGAAGCUUCUCAACAAACAGACAAUGAAACAGAGCUCGAUCAGGACAUGAAGUUAGUGGAACAUCAUGUGGAGGACGCACCUGAAAAAGAAAUGGCAAAAGAAAGUCCUGAGCCAGAGGAACAAAUGUCACCAAUCAAGCAGUUCUUUACACAGGGUAUCUUUGCCAGUUUAAGAAAGAAAAGGAAAGAAGAGGAAAUACAAAAAGAGAGUAAGGAAGAGGAACUCAAAAGAAUCGAGAAAAUUGGUGCAGAGGUGACUGAACAUGAGGACAGUAAAUGCAUGUGUCUUGAUAUCCCUUAUAUUCUAUCAGAGGAAGAAAAAGAUUCACCGGAGAAAGCCGAUGACAAGUUAUUACCUGAAGGAGAGCUUCAGAACUUUCAAGAGAAAGAUAAGGUACAAGGAAGUCCACUUAAAAGACUUUUUAGGAAAUUUUCCACAAGAAAGCAGAGAGAAAGUAAAGCUGCAGAAAAGGUGAUCGAGGCAGAGGAACAAGUCUCUGAACAGCCAAAGCCAUCUUUGGAAUUGACAGAACAAGGGAAAGUGGAGGAACCAGUGACUGAGGAACCAAAACCUGCUGAAGAGGAGCUGGUGGCUGAUGUAAGCCCUCAAGAGUCCAAAAAGAAAUCUGACACUACUGUUUCCUGGGAGGCACUGAUUUGUGGUGGCUCCUCUAAAAAAAGGGCUAGAAAAACAAAUGAGGAUGAAACAGCAGACAAAGGAGGAGACUAUGAGAAAACAACUGACUCUCCACUUGGAAGUUCCUUUGAGGGUGAUUACGAUCAUCUUACAUCAUCUAAUGAACAAACAGGAAGUCCUGCAGAGGGAGAGAUGGGAUCCACAUGGAAAACAUUUAAAAAAAUGGUCACCCCAAAGAGAAAGGUCAGAACUGGAGAAAGUAGUAGCCCUGAGCAGAUACCUUCAGACAGUGAGAUGAACAAAGAUGAUUCAUUUUCUAUGAAGAAACUUAUACCAGGGCACAAAAAAAGAAAAUCGGAAGCAAGGCAAGAACAAACAUCCUCUGAUGAGGCUGCUAAGGAUCAUGAUACAGGUGAUGAAGAUGAUGAAACCCCAGCUAUUAUUCCCCUGUCUGAGUAUGAAAUAAUUGAGCCUGAGAGUCUGAAAGAGGUGAAUGAACAGCGAGUUGAAAUCACAAUAGAACAUGAGAUGCCAGAGAUGACAUCGCAAGUGUUAGAACAGGACACAUCCAAUGACUUGGUGCCGGAAAUUGCAGCUAAAGUUUCAAGUAACAUUGGACCAACAGUCAUACCUGGUCUAUCAGAGGACUUUGAAGAACUCACAGACUUUGUGAGCAAACAUCAACAACUGAGUGAUAUACCAGAGGAAGGCAUCAUUGAGGAAAGCAUUGAAACACCAGUAUCAUCUGCUGAGUGGACAACACAGGAUGACACCUUAGCUGAAGACAUUGUGGAGUUGACAGCUGAUGCGGUCACUGCCCCAGAACCAGCAAGUGAGCAGUUUAUUGGGGAUGACACUACUGAAAUGGUCUCUGCAGUCUCGCAACUAAGUGAAUCACCCAGGACAUCUGGACAUGUUACACCAGUGCCAGCUGAAUAUAGUGUACAAACAUCAGAUGUGAUUCUACAGGAAGCUAUUCAGUCUAUCUGCAUGACUCCAAGUGUUCAAUCAGUAACUACAAAAGAUGAAAGCCAAGAAUCUCUGGCUGUGUCAUUUUCACCUUACAUUGUACAGUCUUCCACACCAGAGGAAACAAAGGUUUUGGUUGCACAUAAGAAAAGUGAGGCAACAGCAAUAUGUACAGGCCUAGUAUCUCAAGAAAUAGAGUCUGUUGAAGAACAUCUCCCUGCACACAUAGUGGAGGCAAUACCUGAAGUGAGUGAUGCUGUAACAACUGAAUUAGUCUCUGAUAACUUUACAGAUAAACCUGAAGCUGCAGGACUUGGGACAGAUGAGGUCUAUGAAGCUGAAAUCAAGGAUGUGAAGACUGAGUAUAAGGAAAUAAUUGUAAAUGAAGAAGAAUCUGCCACUGAAACUCAGCUAGAGGCUGCUGAACCUGAAAAAGAGAUGAAGCUACCAGAUGUUGAAUUGUCACCUGCUGAGUUUGAGCAAGCUGCACUCACUGAAGGAGUUGAAACUUUGAAACAUGGUAUUGUAGACAACAUUCCUGACACUACCACAAGUAAAGCCUCAGAUGUCCCUGAGGAAGAAAUUGAAAUGAUUGCCUCAGCGGUGGAGUGUCUGGAAAGCAAAGACACUGUUAGUAUUAUAAAUCCAAGUUCAGAUCACAUAGUGGCAGAGAGAUUGAAGUUAGAAGACAAUUUAGAAGUAGAAGUUGAAUCAAUACAUGCUGAUGUCUGUGAAAUACAAGUUGAUGUAAAAGAUGCAGUCUUAUUAGCAGGUGAUUCAGCAGUGACUGUAGAGGAAAUCAGUGAGAAAAUGAAUGAAAAUAAUGAUGGAAAAAUAACACUGCAGGAGAUUAAGGAAAUAUGUGUAGAGGAAGAGACUGAGAAUGUUGUUGCUUCAGAAGUUGUUCAAAAUAUUGAGGCUGAAAACAUUUCAGAAACUGUAGAUGAAUCAUUAGCCAGAGAACAGUUGCCGACUAAGGAGGUGUCACUUCCAGAAUCCAUAUUAGUUGAGGAGGCUGAAGAGAUCCAUAAAGAAGACAUUGAUACAGAUGUGGAUAAUAACAAAGUUGAAGACAGUGCAAGUGACAGAAUGGACAUGGUUUUUGUGAAAGAGAAAGACGACCUUGCAGUAAAAGAAGGGCAACCAUCAGCAAACACUGCAAGCAAUGAAACAGACAAUGAUGUUUCUGCUCAUACAAAUAUUACUGAUGAAUCUCCUGAAAUAACUGUUGAUGCAGAAACUGAAAAUGGAGACAUGGUUCAUGGAAGAGAACCCACAGUUGUUCCUGAGUUUUCAAAAGAUGUAUUUGAGCACACAGAAACACCAGCAGAGCUCGAAACUAAUUGUGAAGUCAUACUGACACCACUAGAGACAGCGUUGUCAGAAGCUGAAGCAAGACCUCUACCAACUGAAAUUGUGGCUUCUCAAACAGAGGAGUGGGGUGAAGACACCAAACAUAUUCCAGAACCACACAAAGAGAAUGAACAACCAGUGACAACUGAGAAUAUUAAGACUGGCAAAGUUUUAGAGAUGGUUGCCAUUAUUGAGAACACAACAAAACAGUCAGGGAAAGAGAAACUUAUAAUGGUUGAACCAGUAGCACAGGCACUCAAAAUAUCUGAGCUACCGAAGGCAACAGAACAAGAGGGUGAUGCAUCUGAAAUGACUGUAGUUAAUGCUGAAGCAAUAGGCGAUGACCAGGCCCCAGAAAUGACAUCAACAUUAAUGAAAGAAACUGCAGUUUCAGAAGUAAAGGAUAAAAUGGCUGUUGCAGAAUCAGAAAGGUUUGACUCAGGGCUGACUGUGAUUGAAGUGGCUCCAACCACAGUGCUGGCACAAAAUGAUACUGCUUCAAAAAUGGAAGUUAGUAAUGUGAGUGAACACAAGAAUGAAGCAGAUGAAGAUGUUAGGCUAAAAUGUGAACCUCUUGAACAGUUAAUAGAAAUGACACUGCCAAAUAAGUUACAGGUAGACAAGGCAGAAAUUAAUGAUGAAAUACCAGCAGUAACGGAAGUAACACCUAUAGCGCAGGUACCACCAUUGAGCUCUGAAGUUACAGCAGAAAUGGCAGACGUUUCAGUUUCUGAGAUACAAACUCAAGUUGUGAGAGAACUCAGGGAGGCGACACUUGAAGUGACUGAACCGAAGGUUGAAAUGCCAGUGGUAACAGAAGUUGAAGUAGAGACAGCUGUAGUAACUGAGCUGGAAGUGGAGACACCUAUUGUCACAUCAGUGGUUACAGAACUUGAAGUAGAAAUGCCAGUGGUUACAUCUAUGGCAAAGACGACUGAUACUCACAAAUCUGUAACCACAGAAUCAAAACAUAUACACUGACACAUCAGUGUUGACAACAGUGGUCAAAGAACAAGUGGGGGAGAUGCCCACUGUGGUAGUGACACCAGCUACAGAUGAAGUAACACCAGUUGUAACUCUAGGCAAUGAGUCAAUGGUUGUAGCACCAGUAGAAGACACACCUGUUGUGAAUGUAGCAGCAGAAACACCAAAUGUUGAAUCAGUGAUUGUGAGGACUGCUGUGGCCCCAGCAGUAGAGAUACAGAAUGUGAUUCCAGUGGUAGCAACACCAGAUCUUGGUUCAGUGUUAGUAACAGAGGCUGCAUCUUCAGUAUUAGAAGCAGCAGAAGCAGCAGUUGUAAGCACAGUUGUAGAAACACCAGUUGUUUCUUUCACAGCAGUAAAACCAACUCCAGCUGUAGUGGCAGAGAUGCCAGCUGCAAUAGAGAAAACAAAUAUGUCCCCUGUUGUAGAGAUCCCAGCAAUACAGACACCAUCUGUAGGCCCAGUGAAAAUGUCAUCAGCUGUAACAUCUGUGGCAGAGACUCGAAGCCAAGUAAUCGAAACUCCUCUGGUUUCCAUCACAUCAGUAACUGUAGCUACAGUGACACAGACACCAGUCGUUGAGAUACCAGCUAUAAUUCCAGUGACAGUAACAGAGGCUGUAUCUUCUGUAGUAGCUACAUCAGCUGUAACUUCAGUAGAAUCAGAAAAAAAUGUGACCCUUGUAGUAGAAACUCCAGCAGUAUCUUCAAUUGCAGUGGCAGAGACAUCACCUGUGACAACAGUGGAAGAAACACCAGCUCAGAUUUCAGUAAUUGUAACAGAAGCAGCACCUCCAGUUCCACCAGCAGCAACUUCAGCAGCAGAAACAUCAGCUGUGAUCCCAGUAGUAGAAGUUGUGAAGUCAACUCCAGUUGCAGUGGUUGAGACACCAGUUGUGUCCCCAGUGGUAGAGACACCAGGUCAGGUUUCAGUGAUAGUAAAAGAGACUGCAUCUACAGUAGUUUGUUCAGCAGUGACUGCAGCAGUAGAAACACAUAUUGUGAUCCCAGUAGUAGAAACUCCAGUGUUAAAGUCAGCUCCGCUUGCAGUGGUUGAAACACCAGUUUUGACUCCUGUGGUACAGACACCACAUCAGGUUUUAGUGACAGCAACAGAGGCUGCACCUCCAGUAGUUGUUUCAGCAGUGGCUUCAGCAGCAGAAACACCUGUUGUGAUCCCAGUAGUAGAAACUCCAGCUGUAAAGCCAGCUCCAAUUGCAGUGGUUGAGACACCAGUUUUGCCUCCAGUGGUACAGACACCAGAUCAGGUUUUAGUGACAGUAACAGAGGCUGCACCUCCAGUAGUUGUUUCAGCAGUGGCUUCAGCAGCAGAAACACCUGUUGUGAUCCCAGUAGUAGAAACUCCAGCUGUAAAGCCAGCUCCAAUUGCAGUGGUUGAGACACCAGUUUUGCCUCCAGUGGUCCAGACCCCACAUCAGGUUUUAGGGACAGUAACAGAGGCUGCACCUCCAGUAGUUGUUUCAGCAGUGGCUUCCGCAGCAGAAACACCUGUUGUGAUCCCAGUAGUAAGAACUCCAGCUGUAAAGCCUGCUCCACUUGCAGUGGUUGAGACACCAGUUUUGCCUCCAGUGGUACAGACACCACAUCAGGUUUUAGUGACAGUAACAGAGGCUGCACCUCCAGUAGUUGUUUCAGCAGUGGCUUCCGCAGCAGAAACACCUGUUGCGAUCCCAGAAGUAGAAACUCCAGCUGUAAAGCCUGCUCCACUUACAGUGGUUGAGACACCAGUUUUGCCUCCAGUGGUACAGACACCACAUCAGGUUUUAGUGACAGUAACAGAGGCUGCAUCUCCAAUAGUUGUUUCAGCAGUGGCUUCAGCAGCAGAAACACCUGUUGUGAUCCCAGUAGUAAGAACUCCAGCUGUAAAACCUGCUCCACUUGCAGUGGUUGAGACACCAGUUUUGCCUCCAGUGGUACAGACACCACAUCAGGUUUUAAUGACAGUAACAGAGGCUGCACCUCCAGUAGUUGUUUCAUCAGUGGCUUCAGCAGCAGAAACACCUGUUGCGAUCCCAGUAGUAGAAACUCCAGCUGUAAAGCCUGCUCCACUUGCAGUGGUUGAGACACCAGUUUUGCCUCCAGUGGUACAGAGACCACAUCAGGUUUUAGUGACAGUAACAGAUGCUGCACCUCAAGUAGUUGUUUCUCCAGUAAUUUCAGCAGCAGAAACACCUGUUGCGAUCCCAGUAGUUGAAACUCCUGUAGUAAAGCCAACUCAAUUUGCAGUGGUUGAGACACCAGUUUUGACUCCAGUGGUACAGACACCACAUCAGGUUUUAGUGACAGUAACAGAGGCUGCACCUCAAGUAGUUCUUUCAUCAGUGAUUGCAGCAGCAGAAACACCUGUUGUAGUUGAAACUCCUGUAGUAAAGCCAACUCCAGUUGCAGUGGCAGAGACACCAGUUGUGACUCCAAUAGCAGAAAGGUCAGUUGUGAGUCUAGUACAAGAAACUUCAGUAGGAGCAAUUGCAGUAGCAGAUAUACCUGUUAGGAUCCCAGUAGUACAGACACCGGCUCUGGUUUCAGUGAUUGUAAAAGAGACUGCAUCUCCAGUAGUUCUACCAGCAGUGACUGCAGCAGCAGAAACAUCAGCUGUGAGCCCAAUAGUAGAAACUCUAGGAGUAAAGCCAACAGUGGCCAUGGCAGAGAAACCCGUGCCUGUAAUUCCAGUAGCAGAAGCAUCUGCUGUGACCCCAGCAGUACAGACACUGGUUGUAGAGCAGAUAGUACAGACACCAACAACACCAGCCGUGCCUUUGGUAAAAGCGACACCAGUUGUGACUGUGAUAGAGACAUCUCCUGUGACUACUGUUGAAGACACGCCACAGGAAACACUAGCAGCACAGACACCUGCUUUAGCCCCUUUGAUGGUGACACCAGCUAUUAGCCCAGUUGUAGGGGCAGCAGCUGAAGCGCCAUUUGUUGUGACACCAGAGGUAAAGGAAGCAGUGUUGCUGGUGGUUGAACAGGAAAAAACGGAAGCAAAGGCAACUCCUUCAGUUGUGUCUGAUAAUGUUGAACCACCACUUGUGGCAGCAAAAGAGGUAAAGACAUCAAUUUUACCUGAAGAAAAGGUACCCAAGAGUUCCUUGCAGCAUGACCCUCAAUCAGAAUCUCAAUCAGAAGUGGAGGAUGAUGUGUGGGAGGAUGCUGUAGAUAUUAUUGGAGAUUCUCAGGGUCUAGUGAAACAAGCAUCUGAUGCUGGAAUUUGAGAGUGGCAUGCUAAACCAAACGAAAGCUAUUGAGCAAGUGCAAGUUAAACAAGGAAAGAUGAGAACUUUUUACACUUGGAAGAGAAUGUGUGCACAGCACAAAGUCAGCUGGGACUCACAUUUCUCACAACAAAGAAAUGACCAAACCACUGAGAAGUAAAAUUGCAUCAUUAAAGUUCCAUUAAGUUUAUCUGUUCAGUAGAUAAGCUGUUUUUUGACAUAUGAAACCCUUGAAAAGCAGCUAUUUUGUCAUAUUCAUACUAAGGAUAUUUGGCAAAGUAUAUGUAUUAUUUUUAUGCUAAGCUUAUCUCACAUGAUAUCAGGUUGUAUUACAUAUCUAAAACAUAAAGUUUUAGGCAUAAUACAAAAUAUAAAACAUUUGUACACAUGCAUUAUAUGCUAUAGAUUUGAAAGUUUGGCAUGUUUAAAUUAGGAAACUGAUUCUCAUUGUUGAAGGCAAAUGCAAUUGCCUGGUGUUUUAAGAUAUGUACUAAUUAGAUUUAUUUUGAACCAUGAUAUGCCUCUUGAUAUACCUCUAGGAGGAAUUUCUAUUAUACUCUAAAUAUGAUGUACACUUUACCAAAGCUAUAAUAUGGAUUAAAAGUUUAAACUUCACAAUCAUGUUCCAUAAAAGAGAUGAUUAGACAGUAUUCGGUCAGAUUCAGUGAAUUUCUAACUGAAAAUGACAGAUUGUUUAAUUUGUUUUACAAUAAUAUUUUACAAAGUCAAAAUCUGAUUAUUUAUUUGUUUGUCCACACUGCCAUUUGUCAUUGUUACAAAUUAUGUUUAAUUUACAGAAAUGCCCAAUUCAAGAAAAUAUUUAUGUGAUUACUGUUAGCAUAAAAAUUUAAGCAUGCAAACUAAUGUUGCAAUUACUGGCUUGUCCCCAUGUGUUUUUUCUCUCUCCAGAGAAGCACUUAACAUAUAAAUGUUCCAUAUAAUGAAGAUCAAUACACUUUGUAAUGCAUAUGAUCAUUAAACAUUUUUGCAUUUUUGUUAAUAUUAUACAAGUUGCCUUGCUGUAUUAAGGGGAUUUGAAAGCAUCUGGCCUGACAGAAUAAGCCAUUGCAGUAUCAAUAUCAUAAUUUUAACUUAUUCUAAAUAUUCCUAAGAGUUUGAAACCAUCUGUACAGACUGAUGAUAUGGGCUAUGCAUCUUUGAAGAAGUUGUAAUAUUAACAAUCAACUAAAUACAGGCGUAUAGUAUUGUUCGUGUAUUUUGAGAUAUUUCAAAAUGUAUGGUUUAAUACAAAUUAUAUUUCAAGUUUUAUUUAAAUAAUAAAAAAACUUAAUCAGU
This is an RNA transcript of Ctenopharyngodon idella (grass carp), 9238 nucleotides long. It is a transcript of the gene named A kinase (PRKA) anchor protein 12a, with no coding region annotated. The transcript has 4 exons. The record is from RefSeq and is a predicted model, not a curated record. NCBI's taxonomy places the organism in Eukaryota, Metazoa, Chordata, Actinopteri, Cypriniformes, Xenocyprididae.